RNAcentral lists this ribosomal RNA (460 nucleotides) under uncultured bacterium. RNAcentral's name for it is "partial 16S ribosomal RNA". It matches the Rfam family "Bacterial small subunit ribosomal RNA", at positions 338 to 795 of the family's 1533-position model. The record is from RNAcentral.
CCUACGGGAGGCUGCAGUGAGGAAUAUUGGUCAAUGGGCGGGAGCCUGAACCAGCCAAGUCGCGUGAGGGAAGACGGUCCUAUGGAUUGUAAACCCCUUUAGGCGGGGAGCAAUGCCGGGCACGUGUGCCCGGAGGGAGAGUACCCGCAGAAUAAGCAUCGGCUAACUCCGUGCCAGCAGCCGCGGUAAUACGGAGGAUGCGAGCGUUAUCCGGAUUUAUUGGGUUAAAGGGGUGCGAGGGCGGAUUUUUAAGUCAGCGGUAAAAUGUCCGGUUUAAAUCCGGGCCGGCCGUUGAAACUGGGGAUCUUGAGUGGGCGAGAGGUAUGCGGAAUGCGAGGUGUAGCGGUGAAAUGCAUAGAUAUCACGCAGAACUCCGAUUGCGAAGGCAGCAUACCGGCGCCCGACUGACGCUGAGGCACGAAAGCGUGGGGAUCGAACAGGAUUAGAUACCCCGGUAGUC